Molecule: ribosomal RNA, 481 nt
Filed under: uncultured bacterium
Lineage: Bacteria
Description: partial 16S ribosomal RNA
Rfam family: Bacterial small subunit ribosomal RNA
Source: RNAcentral
GAUGAACGCUGGCGGCGUGCUUAACACAUGCAAGUCGAACGAAGCACUUUAUUUGAUUUCCUUCGGGACUGAUUAUUUUGUGACUGAGUGGCGGACGGGUGAGUAACGCGUGGGUAACCUGCCUUGUACAGGGGGAUAACAGUUGGAAACGGCUGCUAAUACCGCAUAAGCGCACAGCAUCGCAUGAUGCAGUGUGAAAAACUCCGGUGGUAUAAGAUGGACCCGCGUUGGAUUAGCUAGUUGGUGAGGUAACGGCCCACCAAGGCGACGAUCCAUAGCCGACCUGAGAGUGUGACCGGCCACAUUGGGACUGAGACACGGCCCAAACUCCUACGGGAGGCAGCAGUGGGGAAUAUUGCACAAUGGGCGAAAGCCUGAUGCAGCGACGCCGCGUGAGCGAAGAAGUAUUUCGGUAUGUAAAGCUCUAUCAGCAGGGAAGAUAAUGACGGUACCUGACUAAGAAGCACCGGCUAAAUACGUG